This 275-nucleotide ribosomal RNA is filed under the name uncultured bacterium. RNAcentral's name for it is "partial 16S ribosomal RNA". The record is from RNAcentral.
CUGCUGCCUCCCGUAGGAGUUUGGACCGUGUCUCAGUUCCAAUGUGGGGGACCUUCCUCUCAGAACCCCUACGCAUCGUCGGCUUGGUGGGCCGUUGCCCCACCAACUACCUAAUGCGCCGCAUGCCCAUCCGUGACCGGGGUCGCCCCCUUUGGCCGGCAGGGGAUGUCCCCUCCCGGCAUUAUGUUGUAUUAGGCGGGAUUUCUCCCGGUUAUCCAUCUGUCACGGCCAGGUUGCAUACGUGUUACUCACCCGUGCGCCGGUCGCCGGCGGAG